GAUUUUAAAAGAAGAGACUCAGCUUUGCGCAGUGGCAGUAUUGUAGCCAAUGAGGUUUAUCCGAGGCGUGAUUAUUGCUAAUUAAA
Lontra canadensis (Northern American river otter) is the source of this 86-nucleotide long non-coding RNA. RefSeq lists it as uncharacterized. The record is from RefSeq and is a predicted model, not a curated record. The transcript has 3 exons. NCBI's taxonomy places the organism in Eukaryota, Metazoa, Chordata, Mammalia, Carnivora, Mustelidae.